AGUCGCGCCCGCCCCUCCCAGCGCCUGAUUGGUGAAAGGGAAAGGGAAAGGAAGAGGCUCUCUGGAGAUUGGUUGAUAAAUUCAGAUUUUUCCUGUGGAAACUGAAACUUACCCUAAGGAAAAACACUACUCCUGGCAGUUAAAAUUCAGAAACACAUCUCAUGUAUGAACUAAAAUGUGGAUCUCCCAAGGAAAAAACGAUUUCUUUGGUGGUCAAGUUCGGUAAACUGUUUCGCCUGUGAGGUAAAAUGUGGACUUACCUAGCAAAAAUAUUUCCCCUCCUGGUUAAAUCCAGAAAAAAAAUCUCAGGUAUGAACUGCACUUUGCUUUUAAUAAGCAAAGAUAUAACUCUUGGCAGUCACAUACGGGUACAUAGCUUGUGUGUAGACUAAAUUAUGAAUUUAGCAAAAAGUUGCCACUUUGCAGUGAGGUUUAAUAAAAUAUUUUUUAUUUCAUGUAUA
RNAcentral lists this long non-coding RNA (461 nucleotides) under Homo sapiens (human). RNAcentral's name for it is "non-protein coding lnc-PEAK3-2:1". The record is from RNAcentral. Lineage: Eukaryota; Metazoa; Chordata; Mammalia; Primates; Hominidae.